RNAcentral lists this ribosomal RNA (512 nucleotides) under uncultured bacterium. RNAcentral's name for it is "partial 16S ribosomal RNA". It matches the Rfam family "Bacterial small subunit ribosomal RNA", at positions 28 to 523 of the family's 1533-position model. The record is from RNAcentral.
GACGGACGCUGGCGGCGUGCCUAAUACAUGCAAGUCGUGCGGACUUUGCGGGAGCUUGCUCCCAAGAAGUUAGCGGCGGACGGGUGAGUAACACGUGGGCAACCUGCCUGACAGACUGGGAUAACAUUCGGAAACGAAUGCUAAUACCGGAUAGGCAGCGAAGAGGCAUCUCUUUGCUGAGAAAGUCGCUACGGCGUCACUGUCAGAUGGGCCCGCGGGGCAUUUGCUAGUUGGUAGGGUAACGGCCUACCAAGGCGACGAUGCGUAGCCGACCUGAGAGGGUGACCGGCCACACUGGGACUGAGACACGGCCCAGACUCCUACGGGAGGCAGCAGUAGGGAAUCUUCCACAAUGGGCGAAAGCCUGAUGGAGCAACGCCGCGUGAGUGAUGAAGGCCUUCGGGUUGUAAAACUCUGUCUUCUGGGACGAACGGCCAAGAGAGGGAAUGCUCUUGGAUUGACGGUACCAGAGGAGGAAGCCACGGCUAACUACGUGCCAGCCGCCGCCGUAA